This is a long non-coding RNA of Cervus elaphus (red deer), 141 nucleotides long. RefSeq lists it as uncharacterized. The record is from RefSeq and is a predicted model, not a curated record. The transcript is spliced from 3 exons. Lineage: Eukaryota; Metazoa; Chordata; Mammalia; Artiodactyla; Cervidae.
AGAUGAGAUGGUUGGAUGGCAUCACUAACUCAAUGGACAUGAGUUGGAGCAAAUUCCGGGAGAUUGUGAAGGCCAGGGAAACUUUGCAUGCUGCAGUUCACGGGGUUGCAGAGUCAGACACUACUUGGCGACUGAACAACA